GUGGGGAAUAUUGGGCAAUGGGGGAAACCCUGACCCAGCAACGCCGCGUGAAGGAUGAAGGUUUUCGGAUUGUAAACUUCUGUCCCAUGAGACGAAGGAAGUGACGGUACCAUGGGAGGAAGCCCCGGCUAACUUCGUGCCAGCAGCCGCGGUAAUACGAAGGGGGCUAGCGUUGCUCGGAUUUACUGGGCGUAAAGGGCGCGUAGGCGGAUCAGAAAGUCAGAGGUGAAAUCCCAGGGCUCAACCUUGGAACUGCCUUUGAAACUCCUGGUCUGGAGGUCGAGAGAGGUGAGUGGAAUUCCGAGUGUAGAGGUGAAAUUCGUAGAUAUUCGGAGGAACACCAGUGGCGAAGGCGGCUCACUGGCUCGAUACUGACGCUGAGGUGCGAAAGCGUGGGGAGCAAACAGGAUUAGAAACCCCGGUAGUCC
RNAcentral lists this ribosomal RNA (428 nucleotides) under uncultured bacterium. RNAcentral describes it as "partial 16S ribosomal RNA". It matches the Rfam family "Bacterial small subunit ribosomal RNA", at positions 354 to 796 of the family's 1533-position model. The record is from RNAcentral.